CCUACGGGAGGCAGCAGUGGGGACUAUUGCACAAUGGGCGCAAGCCUGAUGCAGCCAUGCCGCGUGUGUGAAGAAGGCCUUCGGGUUGUAAAGCACUUUCAGCGGGGAGGAAGGCGGUGAGGUUAAUAACCUCAUCGAUUGACGUUACCCGCAGAAGAAGCACCGGCUAACUCCGUGCCAGCAGCCGCGGUAAUACGGAGGGUGCAAGCGUUAAUCGGAAUUACUGGGCGUAAAGCGCACGCAGGCGGUCUGUCAAGUCGGAUGUGAAAUCCCCGGGCUCAACCUGGGAACUGCAUUCGAAACUGGCAGGCUAGAGUCUUGUAGAGGGGGGUAGAAUUCCAGGUGUAGCGGUGAAAUGCGUAGAGAUCUGGAGGAAUACCGGUGGCGAAGGCGGCCCCCUGGACAAAGACUGACGCUCAGGUGCGAAAGCGUGGGGAGCAAACAGGAUUAGAUACCCGUGUAGUC
This 465-nucleotide ribosomal RNA is filed under the name uncultured Klebsiella sp. RNAcentral's name for it is "bacterial SSU rRNA". It matches the Rfam family "Bacterial small subunit ribosomal RNA", at positions 338 to 795 of the family's 1533-position model. The record is from RNAcentral. Lineage: Bacteria; Pseudomonadati; Pseudomonadota; Gammaproteobacteria; Enterobacterales; Enterobacteriaceae.